This 219-nucleotide ribosomal RNA is filed under the name uncultured bacterium. Its description in RNAcentral is "partial 16S ribosomal RNA". It matches the Rfam family "Bacterial small subunit ribosomal RNA", at positions 1281 to 1500 of the family's 1533-position model. The record is from RNAcentral.
CUAGGUCCCAGUUCAGAUUGCAGGCUGCAACCCGCCUGCAUGAAGUCGGAAUUGCUAGUAAUCGCGGAUCAGCAUGCCGCGGUGAAUACGUUCCCGGGCCUUGUACACACCGCCCGUCACACCAUGGGAGCCGGUAAUACCCGAAGUCAAUAGUCCAACCACGUGAGGACGCUGCCGAAGGUAGGAUUGGCGACUGGGGUGAAGUCGUAACAAGGUAAC